AUUGAACGCUGGCGGCAUGCUUUACACAUGCAAGUCGAACGGUAACAGGGAGCUUGCUCCGCUGACGAGUGGCGAACGGGUGAGUAAUGCAUCGUAACGUACCCAGUCGUGGGGGGAUAACGUAGCGAAAGUUACGCUAAUACCGCAUACGUCCUGAGGGAGAAAGCGGGGGACCGUAAGGCCUCGCGCGAUUGGAGCGGCCGAUGUCGGAUUAGCUAGUUGGUAGGGUAAAGGCCUACCAAGGCGACGAUCCGUAGCGGGUCUGAGAGGAUGAUCCGCCACACUGGGACUGAGACACGGCCCAGACUCCUACGGGAGGCAGCAGUGGGGAAUUUUGGACAAUGGGCGAAAGCCUGAUCCAGCCAUGCCGCGUGAGUGAAGAAGGCCUCGGUUGUAAGCUCUUCAGGUGGAAGAAAACGGACAUAGGUUAAUACC
RNAcentral lists this ribosomal RNA (435 nucleotides) under uncultured bacterium. RNAcentral's name for it is "bacterial SSU rRNA". It matches the Rfam family "Bacterial small subunit ribosomal RNA", at positions 30 to 467 of the family's 1533-position model. The record is from RNAcentral.